This 459-nucleotide ribosomal RNA is filed under the name uncultured bacterium. Its description in RNAcentral is "partial 16S ribosomal RNA". It matches the Rfam family "Bacterial small subunit ribosomal RNA", at positions 338 to 795 of the family's 1533-position model. The record is from RNAcentral.
CCUACGGGAGGCAGCAGUGAGGAAUAUUGGUCAAUGGGAGAGAGCCUGAACCAGCCAAGCCGCGUGAGGGAAGACGGCCCUAUGGGUUGUAAACCUCUUUUGUCGGAGAACAAAACCCGGGACGUGUCCCGGACUGCGUGUAUCCGAAGAAAAAGCAUCGGCUAACUCCGUGCCAGCAGCCGCGGUAAUACGGAGGAUGCGAGCGUUAUCCGGAUUUAUUGGGUUUAAGGGGUGCGUAGGCGGUCCGUUAAGUCAGCGGUAAAAUUGCGGGGCUCAACCCCGUCGAGCCGUUGAAACUGGCAGACUUGAGUUGGCGAGAAGUACGCGGAAUGCGCGGUGUAGCGGUGAAAUGCAUAGAUAUCGCGCAGAACUCCGAUUGCGAAGGCAGCGUACCGGCGCCAGACUGACGCUGAGGCACGAAAGCGUGGGGAUCGAACAGGAUUAGAUACCCGGGUAGUC